This is a long non-coding RNA of Tupaia belangeri chinensis (Chinese tree shrew), 536 nucleotides long. RefSeq lists it as uncharacterized. The record is from RefSeq and is a predicted model, not a curated record. Lineage: Eukaryota; Metazoa; Chordata; Mammalia; Scandentia; Tupaiidae. The transcript has 3 exons.
GAGCAAAGAUGGCGUCCUGGACCGGCUCUCUACCUGGGAGCCACGCCCUCGCCUAACGUCCAAUCACCGAGAGGAAGGGCAGGGCGCCGGCGGCCCCUGCACGGACCUUGGAGGCCGAGGGGGCGCUGUUGGGAGAUUUAGCGCGUACUUCCCUCAAGCCGUUUUGAAGGCGUGACCCCUGCUUCUGCGUGCGGGAAGGGGUGGAUGUGAGGGGCAGGGCGGGCACCUGCAGGAGUCACUAAGGAUGGCGAUGUCAGUUGCCAGACAAAAUGUUUGGAGUCCGAAAGAGAAAAAUCUCAAGCUUGCAAACGAAGUGAACCAAAAGUUUCCCAGAACCUUGACUUCGUUGUUCGUUUAAACUUCAUGAGAUGCGAACCAACCCUGAUUACGCCCAAGUUGGCAUACUAGCAGGACUACUUCGCCUGGUGAGCAGGUAGAAGGCCAGAUUCUUGCUGAGAGUUUGAUGAGAGGAUGAGUGUGGGGAGCCGCCCACAUCAAAAUGGCUGCCAUGACCUUCACUGCUUAAAAAUGGCCGG